UGGGGAAUAUUGGACAAUGGGCGCAAGCCUGAUCCAGCCAUGCCGCGUGAGUGAUGAAGGCCUUAGGGUUGUAAAGCUCUUUCAGUGGGGAAGAUAAUGACGGUACCCACAGAAGAAGCCCCGGCUAACUUCGUGCCAGCAGCCGCGGUAAUACGAAGGGGGCUAGCGUUGUUCGGAUUUACUGGGCGUAAAGCGCACGUAGGCGGAUUGUUAAGUCGGGGGUGAAAUCCCAGGGCUCAACCCUGGAACUGCCUUCGAUACUGGCAAUCUCGAGUCCGGAAGAGGUGAGUGGAACUCCUAGUGUAGAGGUGGAAUUCGUAGAUAUUAGGAAGAACACCAGUGGCGAAGGCGGCUCACUGGUCCGGUACUGACGCUGAGGUGCGAAAGCGUGGGGAGCAAACAGGAUUAGAUACCCCGGUAGUCC
RNAcentral lists this ribosomal RNA (424 nucleotides) under uncultured bacterium. Its description in RNAcentral is "bacterial SSU rRNA". It matches the Rfam family "Bacterial small subunit ribosomal RNA", at positions 355 to 796 of the family's 1533-position model. The record is from RNAcentral.